GGCAUAUGUAUUAAAGCCCUGUACAGGGAGAUAUCUAAGUCGUAAUGCAUGAAGGUCAGAGUAGUCGAACCCUGAAACAGGGGAGAUUUUAACUAAUAAACUGUACUAAUUGGCCCAACCAAAAAUUCUAGAAAAAAAUAUGUAGAUGGAUAUAGAGUCUAGUUUCAGGGAAAAUUCACGGAAUCAGUUUUAGAGUUUUGGAACUCGAGAUAUGAUUUUGAAGGUGACAGUGACGCAGUUAGCCAGCUUGUCUGGAAAUUUUAAAAUGAACUGUGUAAAUAAAUGAAUUAAGUUCGUUAACACCUCGUGUUCGACUCCGGCAACGGUCUCGGGUGCGGGGCGUUACAAACCCCAUGAUGAUUUUUGGACCUGGAGUGGUGAGCCUUCAGGAAAAUACACAAUACGUAGUGCCUAUAAACUAUUACAAAGCAUGGAAGAAGAUCUUAGAGCUUAUGCUUUAAAACUAACUAUAGGGAAUUUUAUAAAAAAAUUAUGGCUACUCAAUCUACCCUUAAAAAUAAAAAUUACAGUCUGGAAAAUAUCAUGGAACUAUCUACUUGUAUAAGUCAACAUGAAACAUAGGAAGUUAUCAAACACUACAACCUGCCCCCGGAGUGAAAAAGGAACAGAGAAUAUGAACCACCUCCUCCAUGAAUGUCCUGUUUCAGUAUCAGUAUGGAGAGAGUUAUCAUGCCAGAAUUUUCUAUAAGAACCUCAUUUGGAGUUUUUACAAUGGCUAACCUAGGUGUUUGUGCAGAGUACUCCAUCCCGUUAUAGGAUUUUUUACUGUGUCUUAUGGGUAAUUUGGGGAGACAGGAAUGCUAGAAUGCAUAAGAAGGUAAGCAAAUCUGGAAAAGAAAUAGUGAGUUUAGUUAGUAGCAACAUUUCAGAGUUAAACAAGAUUGAAAAAAGAAGCCCCCAAAUUUCUCCAACAGUUAGUAAGUGGAACAACCCACUUGACCAGUUCGUGAAGAUAAAUUUUGAUGUAGCAUAUGAUGGGAGACUUUGUCAAUCGACAGUGGGGAUUGUGGCUAGAAAUAGUGAAGGCAAUGUUCUGUUAUCAUGUGCAGAGAUCCAUCAACAAGUAGCAUCAGCCUUUGCUGCUGAGGCUCUUGUGUGCUGCAAAGCAACCCAAAUUGGCAUCGACAUGCAAUGGCCAAAGAUUAUCAUUGAAGGCGAUUCAUUAUCAAUAAUAAAAAAGUGCAAGGUGAAAAGUCCAGAUAAGUCACUGGUAGGUGCUUAUAUACAUGAUAUUCAACAGCUACUGUUAAAAUCUAGAAACUGUAGAUUUGAAUAUAUCCCACGAAUAUCAAAUAGUCUAGCACAUAUUUUAGCUAUUGAAACGUUGAAGAAGGAGCUUUACCUGCUAGGAAACGUCCCUGAAUAUGUAGAAAAGAAAACAGAAAGAGAUAGGAUGAGAGAACCAGACUAAAAAUGAAGGGGAAAAGAUGAAAUAUAGAGAGUUUGAAAAUGGAAAUCAACGGAUUUAGUGGAAAAAAGCUCUCCUUGGUAAUCUGGAAGCUUUUUAGGGAUAGGGUGAGAGAACAUGACUGAAAAUGAAGGAAAAAGAUUAAAUAUAGAGAGUUUUAAAUAGAAAACCAAUGGAUUCGGUGGAAAAAGCUCUCCUUGGAAGUCUGAAAGCGUUCUAAAGAAGAAAUGGCAGAUGAUAAGACAAGACAUGCAGCAAAUUGGUUUCUGAUUGGAAGAGUAAUGGCAGUUUUAAUGCGGUUCUAGAGUCUUUUGAUUUUUCUUUGCUUGAAUUUUCCUGGCCAAACAUUAAUUUGGGCGUUC
This 1791-nucleotide long non-coding RNA is filed under the name Gossypium barbadense (sea-island cotton). Its description in RNAcentral is "long non-coding RNA (GBAR_LNC005518)". Lineage: Eukaryota; Viridiplantae; Streptophyta; Magnoliopsida; Malvales; Malvaceae. The record is from RNAcentral.